GCGCGAAAACUUUACAAUGCCGGCAACGGCGAUAAGGGGACCUCGAGUGCCAGGUUACAAAUCUGGCUGUCGUGAUGCCUAAAAAGCAUUGCAUAGCAAGGGCCGGGCAAGACCGGUGCCAGCCGCCGCGGUAACACCGGCGGCUCGAGUGGUAACCGUUAUUAUUGGGUCUAAAGGGUCUGUAGCCGGCCGGAUAAGUCUCUUGGGAAAUCUGGCAGCUUAACUGUCAGGCUUUCAGGAGAUACGGUCUGGCUCGAGGCCGGGAGAGGUGAGAGGUACUUCAGGGGUAGGGGUGAAAUCUUGUAAUCCUUGAAGGACCACCAGUGGCGAAGGCGUCUCACCAGAACGGACCUGACGGCAAGGGACGAAAGCUAGGGGCACGAACC
Molecule: ribosomal RNA, 386 nt
Filed under: uncultured prokaryote
Description: bacterial SSU rRNA
Rfam family: Archaeal small subunit ribosomal RNA
Source: RNAcentral